GAUUGAACGCUGGCGGCAUGCCUUACACAUGCAAGUCGAACGGUAACGGGCCUUCGGGUGCCGACGAGUGGCGAACGGGUGAGUAAUGCAUCGGAACGUACCUUUCAGUGGGGGAUAACGUAGCGAAAGUUACGCUAAUACCGCAUAUUCUGUGAGCAGGAAAGCAGGGGAUCGCAAGACCUUGCGCUGAUUGAGCGGCCGAUGUCAGAUUAGCUAGUUGGUGAGGUAAAGGCUCACCAAGGCGACGAUCUGUAGCGGGUCUGAGAGGAUGAUCCGCCACACUGGAACUGAGACACGGUCCAGACUCCUACGGGAGGCAGCAGUGGGGAAUUUUGGACAAUGGGGGCAACCCUGAUCCAGCCAUGCCGCGUGAGUGAAGAAGGCCUUCGGGUUGUAAAGCUCUUUCGGCCGGGAAGAAAUCGCAUGGGCUAAUACCCUGUGCGGAUGACGGUACCGGCAUAAGAAGCACCGGCUAACUACGUG
This 483-nucleotide ribosomal RNA is filed under the name uncultured bacterium. Its description in RNAcentral is "bacterial SSU rRNA". It matches the Rfam family "Bacterial small subunit ribosomal RNA", at positions 27 to 507 of the family's 1533-position model. The record is from RNAcentral.